This 1139-nucleotide long non-coding RNA is filed under the name Fragaria vesca (wild strawberry). Its description in RNAcentral is "long non-coding RNA (FVES_LNC000769)". The record is from RNAcentral. Lineage: Eukaryota; Viridiplantae; Streptophyta; Magnoliopsida; Rosales; Rosaceae.
GUCAGCUAAAGUCUGGACUAUAGCCGACGACUUAUACGUGUGUCGUCGGCUAAAGUCACCACAGACGAGCUUUUCCCGACGAAAUCUUAGCCGACGAAAGGUCGUCGGCUAAGAUCUUAGCCGACGAAUUAAGCUGACAGGCCGACGAAAAAUUUUCGUCGGCUAAAGUGCUUGUCCUGGUAGUGCGUACUGCCAUCUAUAAAUUAAUCCUCCUUAUAAUAAGAUAAUCAGAAAAAUCAAUACUUAAAUUAAAUUCGUAAACUGGAAAAAAAAUUUAACAUUCAUAUUCGGUAGCUCAUGAAAUAUUGUGAUUCAAGAGGUAAGAAGUUCCCCACUAAUAAAUUGACUUUUUAUGAAGGUUUAAAAUUUUCAUUUAUGAUAUUGAUUUAAAAAUGUUGAUUUAGGUAACUUGAUCACCAUACUCUAAAUUGUUUCCUUAUUUGUUCAAAUUAUAAUAAGUUUACGUCAGGCAUGAGAUUUUUUUGGUCAAGAGAUGAACUUCAUUGAAUAUGUAUGAGAUAUAGUGAUUGAAAUGUAUGUUAAGUGUGAAGUGAUACUUCAUUUAAAGAAUGUCUAAAAUAGAAGUCAUCAUCUAUAUUAACAUAAACUAACAUACUGUUCUACAAGAAUAAACAUGUACUAGGUAUCCAAUGAUGAUUUCAAUAACAUUGAUAAAAAAGCUAGCCAUCUUUGAUAUAACGAUUUGAAGUUAGGAACAUAUCUUAUAGUAACAAUCAAAUACUAAGUAGUCAAUAAUGAACUAAUAAUGUUCCCUUAGAACUUUUCCCUAAUAGAAUAUUCACAUUGAAAUAAAAGUUAUUGUUCACAUUGAAAUUUAAAGUUAUAAACAUGUCACAUAGUAACAAAUAAGUUACAAGUACCGAAAAUAACCUAGUAAUGUUCACUUAGAACUUUUCCCAAAUAGCAUGUUCAUAUUGAACUUUACAUUGAAAUAGAAGGCAUUAUCUAUAUUAAAAUUUGAAGUCGACGUUCACAUUGAAAUUUAAAGUCUUAAACAUGUCUUACAGUAACAAAUAAGUUAUAAGUAGCGGAUAAUAAGCUAGUAAUUUUCAAUUGGAACAUUUUCUUAAUGACAUAUUCACAUUGAAAUAGAAAUCAUUAUACACAUUGAAAUUCAC